This is a long non-coding RNA of Rhipicephalus microplus (southern cattle tick), 764 nucleotides long. The record is from RefSeq and is a predicted model, not a curated record. Lineage: Eukaryota; Metazoa; Arthropoda; Arachnida; Ixodida; Ixodidae.
UUCCGAUGGUGGCACCAUGACGUCGCAGCGGAGCUAUUUGGCCGCUUCGUCGGCCCAGAGAACCCGGUGAGGCAGGUGUUCUGUGGUGAGGCCAGAGGCCUGGUAGUGUAUGGGUGUUCUCUGCUGGUAGGUGGCAGCUGGUAGGUGUUCUGUGGCCUGAUCACUGGCUCUCAUAAAUGGUAGUGUAUAGGUGUUCUGUGCUCUCAUUCUCAAAAGCUGCAGAAAUUAGGCGUCUCUUCCUUCAUCUAACCAACACCACUAUUCUCAAGCUAGCGCCUUAAUUGAACGUUCGGGAAGUAUCAUUCAUUGUGCUUUGUCUCCGCAAGUCGUGCAGCUUCGUGUAGACAACGCAGUACACAAACCGGUGCCUCGUAACGAUUUUGUCAACGUUGUGGUGACUAUGCUUGCUCGAUCGACAGACUAGUAAACCGGUGCCCAGUAGCGAUUUCGUGAACAUCGUGGUGACUGCUAGAUCGACAGGCGUCGCAGGCUGCAGUGCGCUGCCUUGCAACAACAGGCUCUCUAUGUAAAGCAUUCACAAUGCUUAUGUUAUGCAAGGCCUUCAAGGAAUGUGGCCAAAGGACGACCUGCGGAAACUGUGCACUCAAUCAGCGCUGUGAUCUUCAGAGCAAAGUUCACCUUUGCUGAAGAUCCAAGUGUGAGGAACUGAAGCAACAAACAGCUCCAAGACAUGAUCUGUGCAAGUUGCAUUUAGAGGAGCUGCAAACAACAAAAGAAAAAUAAGAAUAAAAAGUGUAUCCCUA